This 414-nucleotide ribosomal RNA is filed under the name uncultured bacterium. RNAcentral's name for it is "partial 16S ribosomal RNA". It matches the Rfam family "Bacterial small subunit ribosomal RNA", at positions 338 to 749 of the family's 1533-position model. The record is from RNAcentral.
CCUACGGGGGGCAGCAGUGAGGAAUAUUGGUCAAUGGGCGCGAGCCUGAACCAGCCAAGUAGCGUGAAGGAUGACUGCCCUACGGGUUGUAAACUUCUUUUAUAAAGGAAUAAAGUGAGGCACGUGUGCCUUUUUGUAUGUACUUUAUGAAUAAGGAUCGGCUAACUCCGUGCCAGCAGCCGCGGUAAUACGGAGGAUCCGAGCGUUAUCCGGAUUUAUUGGGUUUAAAGGGAGCGUAGAGGGGUUGUUAAGUCAGUUGUGAAAGUUUGGGGCUCAACCGGAAAAUUGCAAUUGAUACUGGCAGUCUUGAGUACAGUUGAGGGAGGCAGAAUUCGUGGUGUAGCGGUGAAAUGCUUAGAGAUCUCGAAGAAUUCCGAUUGCGAAGGCAGCUGACUAAACGGCCACUGACAUUGA